This 464-nucleotide ribosomal RNA is filed under the name uncultured Desulfobulbus sp. RNAcentral's name for it is "bacterial SSU rRNA". It matches the Rfam family "Bacterial small subunit ribosomal RNA", at positions 925 to 1382 of the family's 1533-position model. Lineage: Bacteria; Pseudomonadati; Thermodesulfobacteriota; Desulfobulbia; Desulfobulbales; Desulfobulbaceae. The record is from RNAcentral.
ACAAGCGGUGGAGUAUGUGGUUUAAGUUUCGAUGCAACGCGAAGAACCUUACCUGGUCUUGACAUCCCGGAGACCCUUAGGAAACUAGGGGUGCUUCCAUCUGGAAGAAUCUGGAGACAGGUGCUGCAUGGCUGUCGUCAGCUCGUGUCGUGAGAUGUUGGGUUAAGUCCCGCAACGAGCGCAACCCUUGCCUUUAGUUGCCAGCAGUUCGGCUGGGCACUCUAAAGGGACUGCCGGUGUUAAACCGGAGGAAGGUGGGGAUGACGUCAAGUCCUCAUGGCCUUUAUGACCAGGGCUACACACGUACUACAAUGGCCGAUACAAAGGGCAACGACACUGCGAGGUGAAGCCAAUCCCGUAAAAUCGGUCUCAGUCCGGACUGGAGUCUGCAACUCGACUCCAUGAAGUUGGAAUCGCUAGUAAUCGUGGAUCAGCAUGCCACGGUGAAUACGUUCCCGGGCCUU